This is a long non-coding RNA of Mauremys reevesii (Reeves's turtle), 332 nucleotides long. RefSeq lists it as uncharacterized. The record is from RefSeq and is a predicted model, not a curated record. NCBI's taxonomy places the organism in Eukaryota, Metazoa, Chordata, Testudines, Geoemydidae. The transcript is spliced from 3 exons.
AACUAAGGGCUGCCUGAGACCUUUUUAAACCCUCCCCUGGGAGGAAGGAGAGAAGAAGGUUUGUUGCUAGCAGUAGUAAGAAGACAGUGAGCCUCACCAGGAGAAGAGAUGGAGGACCACCACAGGAGGAAACAUCUACCAUGUUAGGGGAAACUGAGGCAGACCUGUGAUUAGAAGCCAGGGGAGGCCAGAUCCUUAACUUGAGUGAAUUGCCACAUUUCAUUUGAAGUCAGUGGAGCUACACAGUCAACACCAGCUGGACAUCUACUCCAUAGCCUCUGAAGAACACUGUAUCAGAAUAAAUACAGACCUAUUAAAUACUGUGUAGUGUU